Molecule: non-coding RNA, 612 nt
Organism: Anolis sagrei ordinatus
Lineage: Eukaryota; Metazoa; Chordata; Lepidosauria; Squamata; Anolidae
Source: RefSeq, a predicted model, not a curated record
CACCCACCAGGCAACGUCCAGCUCUGUAGCAACCUUGCAAAACGUUUUGUAUUCCCAACGAACCUUGUCGCAGAAAACUAUGCAUGGUUGAAUGAAUAAAAUCCCCCCAAAAUAGGCCCAUCUUUGGGUUAAUUCUGCAUGGAGGAGGCUGACGUUGGUUGACAUUAUAUUAUUAUUAUUGGGGAUGAAAUAUAUGUAUUUGGGUUUACAUGCACGACUCCUACACCCUGCAAGAAAUGUGCCCUUAAUGCUCCAUCCCCCUUCAUGGACUUCUUUUUUUUCUCAAUGGGAAAUGGUUUCUUUCCCUGGAUGGGCCACCAAGAGACGUUGUGUUGACAAAAGACCCGCUCCCGGCGGAAUUGGAAAUCAUGAGCUCGAUGUGGGUUCUUUCCUUAUGGGGAAGAGCAAGGAGAUGGACGGCUAUUUGGUUUGGUUUUUCAAGCAUCGCCCUUUUAUGUAACCCCCAUUUUCCUCCUACUUCAGGGGCCCACAUUUUGGCUGUCACUCAAUCCUUGUAUCUUCUUCUUCUUCCUGCAAGAACCCGUUUCCCCUCCAUUUAUAUUUCUUGGCAUGAAGGACAUUAAAACAAAUACUCGAAACCACACCAAAUAC